RNAcentral lists this ribosomal RNA (468 nucleotides) under uncultured bacterium. RNAcentral's name for it is "partial 16S ribosomal RNA". It matches the Rfam family "Bacterial small subunit ribosomal RNA", at positions 28 to 507 of the family's 1533-position model. The record is from RNAcentral.
GACGAACGCUGGCGGCGUGCUUAACACAUGCAAGUCGAACGGCAAGGCCCUGCUUUUGUGGGGUGCUCGAGUGGCGAACGGGUGAGUAACACGUGAGUAACCUGCCCUUGACUUUGGGAUAACUUCAGGAAACUGGGGCUAAUACCGGAUAGGAGCUCACGCUGCAUGGAGGGGGUUGGAAAGUUUCGGCGGUUGGGGAUGGACUCGCGGCUUAUCAGCUUGUUGGUGGGGUAGUGGCUUACCAAGGCUUUGACGGGUAGCCGGCCUGAGAGGGUGACCGGCCACAUUGGGACUGAGAUACGGCCCAGACUCCUACGGGAGGCAGCAGUGGGGAAUAUUGCACAAUGGGCGGAAGCCUGAUGCAGCAACGCCGCGUGCGGGAUGACGGCCUUCUGGGUGUAAACCGCUUUCGCCUGUGACGAAGCGUGAGUGACGGUAAUGGGUAAAGAAGCACCGGCUAACUACGUG